This 486-nucleotide ribosomal RNA is filed under the name uncultured bacterium. RNAcentral's name for it is "partial 16S ribosomal RNA". It matches the Rfam family "Bacterial small subunit ribosomal RNA", at positions 28 to 507 of the family's 1533-position model. The record is from RNAcentral.
AACGAACGCUGGCGGCAUGCCUAACACAUGCAAGUCGAACGGCACCUCGGGUGCUUGCGCCGGGCGGCGAGGGGCGAACGGGGAAGUAACCCUUAGGAUCGGGUCCUGUCGGGGGGAAUAGCGCGGAGAACGCCGGAUGAAUACCGAAUAAGGUCUACGGACGAAUGGGGGGGCCCUCCGGGCCUUGGGUUAUAGGUGGGGCCGAGGGCUGACUAGCUGGUUGGGGGGGUAAGGGCCUACAAAGGCGACGACCAGUAGCGGGUCGGAGAGGACGACCAGCCACACGGGGACUGAGACAGGGCCCAGACUCCUGCGCUAGGACGCAGUGCGGAAUUGUAGGCAAUGGGGGAGAGCCUGAUCCAGCAAUGCCGCGUGUGUGAAGAAGGCGUUCUGGUUGGAAAGCACUUUUGUCCGUAAAGAAAUCCUUGGCCCUAAUACGGUCGGGUGAUGACGGUACCGGAAGAAUAAGCACCGGCUAACUACGUG